This 471-nucleotide unclassified non-coding RNA is filed under the name uncultured Glomus. RNAcentral's name for it is "SSU rRNA". It matches the Rfam family "Eukaryotic small subunit ribosomal RNA", at positions 569 to 1045 of the family's 1831-position model. Lineage: Eukaryota; Fungi; Glomeromycota; Glomeromycetes; Glomerales; Glomeraceae. The record is from RNAcentral.
AGCAGCCGCGGUAAUUCCAGCUCCAAUAGCGUAUAUUAAAGUUGUUGCAGUUAAAAAGCUCGUAGUUGAAUUUCGGGAUCAAUACGUCGGUCGUGCUUCGGUACGUACUGGCGUAAUUGAUUUCUCCCUUCUGACGAACCAUGAUGUCAUUAACUUGGUGUCAUGGGGAAUCAGGACUGUUACUUUGAAAAAAUUAGAGUGUUUAAAGCAGGCUCACGCUUGAAUACAUUAGCAUGGAAUAAUGAAAUAGGACGUUCGAUCCUAUUUUGUUGGUUUUUAGGAUCAACGUAAUGAUUAAUAGGGAUAGUUGGGGGCAUUAGUAUUCAAUUGUCAGAGGUGAAAUUCUUGGAUUUAUUGAAGACUAACUACUGCGAAAGCAUUUGCCAAGGAUGUUUUCAUUAAUCAAGAACGAAAGUUAGGGGAUCGAAGACGAUCAGAUACCGUCGUAGUCUUAACCAUAAACUAUGCCGA